GAUGAACGCUGGCGGCGUGCUUAACACAUGCAAGUCGAGCGAAGCACUGGUUUGGAUUUCUUCGGAUUGACGAACCAUUGACUGAGCGGCGGACGGGUGAGUAACGCGUGGGGGAACCUGCCCCAUACCGGGGGAUAACAGCCGGAAACGGCUGCUAAUACCGCAUAAGCGCACGAAGAGGCAUCUCUUAGUGUGAAAAACUCCGGUGGUAUGGGAUGGACCCGCGUCGGAUUAGCCAGUUGGCGGGGUAACGGCCCACCAAAGCGACGAUCCGUAGCCGGCCUGAGAGGGCGACCGGCCACAUUGGGACUGAGACACGGCCCAAACUCC
Molecule: ribosomal RNA, 330 nt
Filed under: uncultured Ruminococcus sp.
Lineage: Bacteria; Bacillati; Bacillota; Clostridia; Eubacteriales; Oscillospiraceae
Description: bacterial SSU rRNA
Rfam family: Bacterial small subunit ribosomal RNA
Source: RNAcentral